This is a non-coding RNA of Sus scrofa (pig), 776 nucleotides long. Lineage: Eukaryota; Metazoa; Chordata; Mammalia; Artiodactyla; Suidae. The record is from RefSeq and is a predicted model, not a curated record.
ACCACCGGGCUUUCAGACCUCCCUUGGGAAAUAGGGGAGCUACAAAUACUGAUUUCUUGAAGAUCCACUUUGAAGCCCUGGAGCAUCUGCUUCAUGCCAGUCACACUCCUAAACACUGGGCAUAGAAUGUUUACCUUGCAGAUCCCAGACACCGAACAUAAGAGAAAAAGGAGGAAUUCCCUGGCGGUGCAGAGGGUUAAGGAUCUGGCACUGUCACUGCAUCGGCCUGGGUGGCUGCUGUGGCACAGAUUAGAUCCCUUGGCCCUGGAACUUUUGCAGCAAAAAAAAGAAGAGGAGUUCUUGCUGUGGCACAAGCCUUGCAGUCCCUCAUCUUGGUCGACAGGGACACCGACUCUCAUAUCUACUUUGACCACAUCUUGGUUAAUUCAGUCCACUAGAUCUACGUUUCUCCUGCAGAUUGUUAUCUCAUACUUUGGGAAGAACAGGCUUCCAGGCUUCCCAUGAUUUUUGCCUUUGUAACUCCAGUCAUUUAAGUGAAGUUCAAAUGAGAACACACACACAGAGAAGAAAAGAGCAAAUGACUAUGAAGACAAGUAUUAAUGGAGAUUUUUCAGUGGGAUGGAAAGCCUGUGAAAUCAGAUUGUUAUGAUCAUUAUACAACUACAGAUGUGAUAAAUUCAUUUGAGUAAUAAAAAAAUAAAUUAAUUAAUUAAAAGUAUUAAUGGAGAUUUUUCAGAAGGCUUGAAUGGUGCUUCUCGGUCCUGUUAAUACUGGCUGUUACGGGCAGUUCCAGUUGUGGCGCAGUGGAAACGAAU